Molecule: ribosomal RNA, 438 nt
Filed under: uncultured Clostridium sp.
Lineage: Bacteria; Bacillati; Bacillota; Clostridia; Eubacteriales; Clostridiaceae
Description: partial 16S ribosomal RNA
Rfam family: Bacterial small subunit ribosomal RNA
Source: RNAcentral
ACGGAAGGCAGCAGUGGGGGAUAUUGCAUAAUGGGCGCAAGCCUGAUGCAGCAACGCCGCGUGAGGGAAGACGGUCUUCGGAUUGUAAACCUCUGUCCUUGGUGAAGAACACAAUGACGGUAACCAGGAUAGGAAGCCACGGCUAACUACGUGCCAGCAGCCGCGGUAAUACGUAGGUGGCAAGCGUUGUCCGGAUUUACUGGGUGUAAAGGGAGCGCAGGCGGGACAGCAAGUUGGAUGUGAAAUACCGAAGCUUAACUUCGGAGCUGCAUCCAAAACUGCUGUUCUUGAGUGAAGUAGAGGUAGGCGGAAUUCCGAGUGUAGCGGUGAAAUGCGUAGAUAUUCGGAGGAACACCGGUGGCGAAGGCGGCCUACUGGGCUUUAACUGACGCUGAGGCUCGAAAGUGUGGGGAGCAAACAGGAUUAGAUACCCUGGUA